Molecule: ribosomal RNA, 732 nt
Filed under: uncultured bacterium
Lineage: Bacteria
Description: bacterial SSU rRNA
Rfam family: Bacterial small subunit ribosomal RNA
Source: RNAcentral
CAGUCGAGGGGCAGCAUGGUCUUAGCUUGCUAAGACUGAUGGCGACCGGUGCACGGGUGCGUAACGCGUAUGCAACUUGCCCUACAGAGGGGGAUAACCCGUUGAAAGACGGACUAACACCGCAUAUGCUCAGGGGUCUGCAUGGGCCUUUGAGGAAAUAUUUAUAGCUGUAAGAUAGGCAUGCGUCCCAUUAGCUUGUUGGUGAGGUAACGGCUCACCAAGGCAACGAUGGGUAGGGGAACUGAGAGGUUUAUCCCCCACACUGGUACUGAGACACGGACCAGACUCCUACGGGAGGCAGCAGUGAGGAAUAUUGGUCAAUGGGCGAGAGCCUGAACCAGCCAAGUCGCGUGAAGGAUGAAGGCCCUAUGGGUCGUAAACUUCUUUUAUACGGGAAUAACGAGCCUUACGGGUAGGGCGCUGAAUGUACCGUAGGAAUAAGCAUCGGCUAACUCCGUGCCAGCAGCCGCGGUAAUACGGAGGAUGCGAGCGUUAUCCGGAUUUAUUGGGUUUAAAGGGUGCGUAGGUUGCUUGGUAAGUCAGCGGUGAAAACUGAACGCUCAACGUUCAGCGUGCCGUUGAAACUGUCAGGCUUGAGUGCAGUGGCGGCAGGCGGAAUUCGUGGUGUAGCGGUGAAAUGCAUAGAUAUCACGAGGAACUCCGAUUGCGAAGGCAGCUUGCCAUACUGUAACUGACACUGAAGCACGAAGGCGUGGGUAUCAAACAGGAUUA